RNAcentral lists this ribosomal RNA (484 nucleotides) under uncultured bacterium. RNAcentral's name for it is "partial 16S ribosomal RNA". It matches the Rfam family "Bacterial small subunit ribosomal RNA", at positions 28 to 523 of the family's 1533-position model. The record is from RNAcentral.
GACGAACGCUGGCGGCGUGCUUAACACAUGCAAGUCGAACGAUGAUUCUGGAGCUUGCUCCAGUUGAUUAGUGGCGAACGGGUGAGUAACACGUUAGCAAUCUGCCCUUGACUCUGGGAUAAAUGCGGGAAACUGUAGCUAAUACCGGAUACUUUCACCGGAAGGCAUCUUCUGGUGAUGAAAGAAUUUCGGUCAGGGAUGAGCUCGCGUCCUAUCCGCUUGUUGGUGAGGUAACGGCUCACCAAGGCGACGCCGGGUAACCGGUCUGAGAGGGUGACCGGUCACACUGGGACUGAGACACGGCCCAGACUCCUACGGGAGGCAGCAGUGGGGAAUAUUGCACAAUGGGCGCAAGCCUGAUGCAGCAACGCCGCGUGAGGGAUGAAGGCCUUCGGGUUGUAAACCUCUUUUAGCAGGGAAGAAGCGAAAGUGACGGUACCUGCAGAAAAAGCACCGGCUAACUACGUGCCAGCCGCCGCCGUAA